AUACGUAGGUGACAAGCGUUGUCCGGAUUUACUGGGUGUAAAGGGCGUGUAGGCGGAGAUGCAAGUCAGGAGUGAAAUCUAGGGGCUCAACCCCUAAACUGCUUUUGAAACUGGAUCCCUUGAGUAUCGGAGAGGCAGGCGGAAUUCUUCGUGUAGCGGGGCAAUGCGGAGAUAUUAGGAGGAACACCAGUGGCGAAGGCGGCCUGCUGGACGACAACUGACGCUGAGGCGCGAAAGCGUGGGGAGCAAACAGGAUUAGAUACCCUGGUAGUCCACGCUGUAAACGAUGAAUACUAGGUGUGGGGGGACUGACCCCCUCCGUGCCGCAGUUAACACAAUAAGUAUUCCACCUGGGGAGUACGAUCGCAAGGUUGAAACUCAAAGGAAUUGACGGGG
RNAcentral lists this ribosomal RNA (396 nucleotides) under uncultured bacterium. RNAcentral describes it as "partial 16S ribosomal RNA". It matches the Rfam family "Bacterial small subunit ribosomal RNA", at positions 523 to 918 of the family's 1533-position model. The record is from RNAcentral.